GUGCUUCCUUCAGCAGCACAUAUACUAAAAUUGGAAUGAUGCAGAGAAGAUUAGCAUGGCCCCUGAGCAAGGAUGACAUGCAAAUUCAUAAAUAUAUAAUCCUCCUA
Molecule: small nuclear RNA, 107 nt
Organism: Otolemur garnettii (small-eared galago)
Lineage: Eukaryota; Metazoa; Chordata; Mammalia; Primates; Galagidae
Source: Ensembl